RNAcentral lists this ribosomal RNA (489 nucleotides) under uncultured bacterium. Its description in RNAcentral is "partial 16S ribosomal RNA". It matches the Rfam family "Bacterial small subunit ribosomal RNA", at positions 30 to 506 of the family's 1533-position model. The record is from RNAcentral.
AUUGAACGCUGGCGGCAGGCCUAACACAUGCAAGUCGAACGGUAACAGGAAGCAGCUUGCUGCUUCGCUGACGAGUGGCGGACGGGUGAGUAAUGUCUGGGAAACUGCCUGAUGGAGGGGGAUAACUACUGGAAACGGUAGCUAAUACCGCAUAACGUCGCAAGACCAAAGAGGGGGACCUUAGGGCCUCUUGCCAUCGGAUGUGCCCAGAUGGGAUUAGCUAGUAGGUGGGGUAACGGCUCACCUAGGCGACGAUCCCUAGCUGGUCUGAGAGGAUGACCAGCCACACUGGAACUGAGACACGGUCCAGACUCCUACGGGAGGCAGCAGUGGGGAAUAUUGCACAAUGGGCGCAAGCCUGAUGCAGCCAUGCCGCGUGUAUGAAGAAGGCCUGCGGGUUGUAAAGUACUUUCAGCGGGGAGGAAGGGAGUAAAGUUAAUACCUUUGCUCAUUGACGUUACCCGCAGAAGAAGCACCGGCUAACUCCGU